This 277-nucleotide ribosomal RNA is filed under the name uncultured bacterium. RNAcentral's name for it is "partial 16S ribosomal RNA". It matches the Rfam family "Bacterial small subunit ribosomal RNA", at positions 77 to 353 of the family's 1533-position model. The record is from RNAcentral.
CAAACUGGAGAUGGCGACCGGCGCACGGGUGAGUAACACGUAUCCAACCUGCCGAUAACUCGGGGAUAGCCUUUCGAAAGAAAGAUUAAUACCCGAUGGCAUAAUAGAACCGCAUGGUUGAUUAUUAAAGAAUUUCGGUUAUCGAUGGGGAGUGCGUUCCAUUAGGCAGUUGGUGGGGUAACGGCCCACCAAACCUUCGAUGGAUAGGGGUUCUGAGAGGAAGGUCCCCCACCAUUGGAACUGAGACACGGUCCAAACUCCUACGGGAGGCAGCAUG